AUGUCACGAUGAGGGCACUUUCAUAAUAACUCCUUGAACGGCUCGUAUGCCUCAUAUAAAGAUUCUUCAUCAAGCUGCUGAAAUGAAGUGAUUUCAUUUUGGAUCUU
Molecule: small nucleolar RNA, 107 nt
Organism: Gossypium raimondii (Peruvian cotton)
Lineage: Eukaryota; Viridiplantae; Streptophyta; Magnoliopsida; Malvales; Malvaceae
Rfam family: Plant small nucleolar RNA R71
About the family: R71 is a member of the C/D box family of snoRNAs containing the C (UGAUGA) and D (CUGA) box motifs. Multiple nearly identical copies of this snoRNA have been identified in Arabidopsis, and it is thought to function as a 2'-O-ribose methylation guide for 18S ribosomal RNA.
Source: Rfam